UAAGCGUCGGUGAGGUGAUAUGAACCGUUAUAACCGGCGAUUUCCGAAUGGGGAAACCCAGUGUGUUUCGACACACUAUCAUUAACUGAAUCCAUAGGUUAAUGAGGCGAACCGGGGGAACUGAAACAUCUAAGUACCCCGAGGAAAAGAAAUCAACCGAGAUUCCCCCAGUAGCGGCGAGCGAACGGGGAGGAGCCCAGAGCCUGAAUCAGUGUGUGUGUUAGUGGAAGCGUCUGGAAAGGCGUGCGAUACAGGGUGACAGCCCCGUACACAAAAAUGCACAUAUUGUGAGCUCGAUGAGUAGGGCGGGACACGUGGUAUCCUGUCUGAAUAUGGGGGGACCAUCCUCCAAGGCUAAAUACUCCUGACUGACCGAUAGUGAACCAGUACCGUGAGGGAAAGGCGAAAAGAACCCCGGCGAGGGGAGUGAAAAAGAACCUGAAACCGUGUACGUACAAGCAGUGGGAGCCUCUUAAUGGGGUGACUGCGUACCUUUUGUAUAAUGGGUCAGCGACUUAUAUUCUGUAGCAAGGUUAACCGAAUAGGGGAGCCGAAGGGAAACCGAGUCUUAACUGGGCGUUAAGUUGCAGGGUAUAGACCCGAAACCCGGUGAUCUAGCCAUGGGCAGGUUGAAGGUUGGGUAACACUAACUGGAGGACCGAACCGACUAAUGUUGAAAAAUUAGCGGAUGACUUGUGGCUGGGGGUGAAAGGCCAAUCAAACCGGGAGAUAGCUGGUUCUCCCCGAAAGCUAUUUAGGUAGCGCCUCGUGAAUUCAUCUCCGGGGGUAGAGCACUGUUUCGGCAAGGGGGUCAUCCCGACUUACCAACCCGAUGCAAACUGCGAAUACCGGAGAAUGUUAUCACGGGAGACACACGGCGGGUGCUAACGUCCGUCGUGAAGAGGGAAACAACCCAGACCGCCAGCUAAGGUCCCAAAGUCAUGGUUAAGUGGGAAACGAUGUGGGAAGGCCCAGACAGCCAGGAUGUUGGCUUAGAAGCAGCCAUCAUUUAAAGAAAGCGUAAUAGCUCACUGGUCGAGUCGGCCUGCGCGGAAGAUGUAACGGGGCUAAACCAUGCACCGAAGCUGCGGCAGCGACACUAUGUGUUGUUGGGUAGGGGAGCGUUCUGUAAGCCUGUGAAGGUGGCCUGUGAGGGUUGCUGGAGGUAUCAGAAGUGCGAAUGCUGACAUAAGUAACGAUAAAGCGGGUGAAAAGCCCGCUCGCCGGAAGACCAAGGGUUCCUGUCCAACGUUAAUCGGGGCAGGGUGAGUCGACCCCUAAGGCGAGGCCGAAAGGCGUAGUCGAUGGGAAACAGGUUAAUAUUCCUGUACUUGGUGUUACUGCGAAGGGGGGACGGAGAAGGCUAUGUUGGCCGGGCGACGGUUGUCCCGGUUUAAGCGUGUAGGCUGGUUUUCCAGGCAAAUCCGGAAAACCAAGGCUGAGGCGUGAUGA
This 1452-nucleotide ribosomal RNA is filed under the name Escherichia coli. RNAcentral's name for it is "partial 23S ribosomal RNA". It matches the Rfam family "Bacterial large subunit ribosomal RNA", at positions 72 to 1569 of the family's 2925-position model. Lineage: Bacteria; Pseudomonadati; Pseudomonadota; Gammaproteobacteria; Enterobacterales; Enterobacteriaceae. The record is from RNAcentral.